GCCUGUAGUCCCAGCUACCGGGGAGGCUGAGGCUGGAGGAUCGCUUGAGUCCAGGAGUUCUGGGCUGCUGUGCGCUAUGCCGAUCGGGUGUCCACACUAAGUUCGGCAUCAAUAUGGUGACCUCCCGGGAGCGAGGGACCACCAGGUUGCCUAAGGAGGGGUGAACCGGCCCAGGUCGGAAACGGAGCAGGUCAAAACUCCCGUGCUGAUCAGUCAUUUUUUUAUUUUAAAAUUGUGUGGUACAAAUUCAGGGUUACGUAUACAAAUAUUCAUU
This 274-nucleotide signal recognition particle RNA is filed under the name Carlito syrichta (Philippine tarsier). Its description in RNAcentral is "Metazoan signal recognition particle RNA (ENSTSYG00000030105.1)". It matches the Rfam family "Metazoan signal recognition particle RNA". From Rfam's summary of the family: The signal recognition particle (SRP) is a universally conserved ribonucleoprotein. It is involved in the co-translational targeting of proteins to membranes. Lineage: Eukaryota; Metazoa; Chordata; Mammalia; Primates; Tarsiidae. The record is from RNAcentral.